RNAcentral lists this ribosomal RNA (443 nucleotides) under uncultured bacterium. Its description in RNAcentral is "partial 16S ribosomal RNA". It matches the Rfam family "Bacterial small subunit ribosomal RNA", at positions 338 to 795 of the family's 1533-position model. The record is from RNAcentral.
CCUACGGGGGGCUGCAGUGGGGAAUAUUGGGCAAUGGGCGCAAGCCUGACCCAGCAACGCCGCGUGAAGGAAGAAGGCUUUCGGGUUGUAAACUUCUUUUCUCAGGGACGAAGCAAGUGACGGUACCUGCGGAAUAAGCCACGGCUAACUACGGGCCAGCAGCCGCGGUAAUACGUAGGUGGCAAGCGUUAUCCGGAUUUACUGGGUGUAAAGGGCGUGUAGGCGGGAAAGCAAGUCAGAUGUGAAAACCAUGGGCUCAACCUGUGGCCUGCAUUUGAAACUGUUUUUCUUGAGUACUGGAGAGGCAGACGGAAUUCCUAGUGUAGCGGUGAAAUGCGUAGAUAUUAGGAGGAACACCAGUGGCGAAGGCGGUCUGCUGGACAGCAACUGACGCUGAGGCGCGAAAGCGUGGGGAGCAAACAGGAUUAGAUACCCCGGUAGUC